This 220-nucleotide unclassified non-coding RNA is filed under the name Bradyrhizobium erythrophlei. The record is from RNAcentral. Lineage: Bacteria; Pseudomonadati; Pseudomonadota; Alphaproteobacteria; Hyphomicrobiales; Nitrobacteraceae.
GAUGACGGCCGCGGCAAAGCCUAGCAAGCAGCCGCGAACCGAGUCUUGCGUGGCGUCCGGUAACGGCCGUUGCGAAGCGUAGACAGGGAGGUUGUAGGCCGGAACGACAGUGAACGGGAACAUAGCCCCGAAAUCGAUCGUGAUCGGAGUAGCCGACCCUACACAAUCACUUUCCCUGCCAGACAAUUCCCGCCGGUGGACGCCUUUUGGUCGGUGACUA